CCUACGGGUGGCAGCAGUGGGGAAUAUUGGGCAAUGGGCGCAAGCCUGACCCAGCAACGCCGCGUGAAGGAAGAAGGCUUUCGGGUUGUAAACUUCUUUUCUCAGGGACGAAGCAAGUGACGGUACCUUAGGAAUAAGCCACGGCUAACUACGUGCCAGCAGCCGCGGUAAUACGUAGGUGGCAAGCGUUAUCCGGAUUUACUGGGUGUAAAGGGCGUGUAGGCGGGAAAGCAAGUCAGAGGUGAAAACCAUGGGCUCAACCUGUGGCCUGCAUUUGAAAAUGUUUUUCUUGAGUACUGGGGAGGCAGACGGAAUUCCUAGUGUAGCGGUGAAAUGCGUAGAUAUUAGGAGGAACACCAGUGGCGAAGGCGGUCUGCUGGACAGCAACUGACGCUGAGGCGCGAAAGCGUGGGGAGCAAACAGGAUUAGAUACCCGGGUAGUC
Molecule: ribosomal RNA, 443 nt
Filed under: uncultured bacterium
Lineage: Bacteria
Description: partial 16S ribosomal RNA
Rfam family: Bacterial small subunit ribosomal RNA
Source: RNAcentral